Molecule: ribosomal RNA, 1575 nt
Filed under: Candidatus Wildermuthbacteria bacterium
Lineage: Bacteria; Candidatus Wildermuthiibacteriota
Description: bacterial SSU rRNA
Rfam family: Bacterial small subunit ribosomal RNA
Source: RNAcentral
AUAUAUGAGAGUUUGAUCAUGGCUCAGGAUGAACGCUGGCGGCGUGCCUAAAACAUGCAAGUCGAAUGGGUUAGACCCAUGGCGAACGGGUGAGUAAUGCACAAGAACUUGCUCCGAAGUUGGGGAUAUCCCCUCGAAAGAGGGAGUAACAUCCAAUAGUCUUUAGGCAGAAAUGGGGAAAAGAAACGAUAUUGCUGACAGUUGCGGCUAAGCGCAUUUGGUGCCCCACAUCAACACUCGAUGCCCUGAUAAGGGAUCUCGACGGCUCGCCUGAGGUCGAGAGGAAGUGACGCACUCCUAGUCAACCCUGUAUCGUUUCAAAAGAACUCCGAGACGAGUCUUCUCGUCUCCCCAUUUCUGCUUAAAGUAAAAAUUUAUUGCUUCGGAAGAGGCUUGUGUCCUAUCAGCUAGUUGGUGAGGUAAUGGCUUACCAAGGCGAUGACGGGUAGUUGGUCUGAGAGGAUGACCAGCCACAGUGGAACUGAGACACGGUCCACACUCCUACGGGAGGCAGCAGUUGGGAAUCGUCGGCAAUGCCCGAAAGGGUGACCGCGCGACGCCGCGUGAAGGAAGAAGGCCUUCGGGUUGUAAACUUCUUUUAUGAGGGAUGAUUAUGACAGUACCUCAAGAAUAAGGGGCUGCUAACUACGUGCCAGCAGCAGCGGUAAUACGUAGGCCCCGAGCGUUAUCCGGAAUUAUUGGGCGUAAAGUGCGCGUAGGUGUUUUUGUAAGUCGGUCGUUAAAUCUCACUGCUUAACAGUGAGACCGCGAGCGAUACUACAAGAAUUGAGUUUUGCAGGGGCUAGCAGAAUUUCUGGAGUAGGGGUGAAAUCCGUUGAUACCAGAAGGAAUACCAAUGGCGAAGGCAGCUAGCUGGGCAAUAACUGACACUGAGAGCGCGAAAGCGUGGGGAGCAAACGGGAUUAGAUACCCCGGUAGUCCACGCCCUAAACUAUGUCUACUAGCAAUAGGAAGAGUCGACCCUUUCUGUUGCGAAGCUAACGCGUCAAGUAGACCGCCUGGGAAGUACGAUCGCAAGAUUAAAACUCAAAUGAAUUGGCGGGGGCUCGCACAAGUGGUGGAGCAUGUGGUUUAAUUCGACACUAAGCGAUAACCUUAUCCCAGAUUUGACAUCUAAGGAAUCCCCAAGAAACUGGGGAGUGCCCGUAAGGGAAUCUUAAGACAGGUAUUGCACGGUCGUCGUCAGUUCGUGGCGUGAGCUGUGAGGUUAAGUCCUUAAACGAACGAAACCCUUGUCCUAUGUUGGAUUUUCAUAGGAGACUGCCCUGGUAACAGGGAGGAAGGUGGGGAUGACGUCAGAUCCGCGUGGUCUUUAUGUCUGGGGCUACACACGUGCUACAAUCCUAUCGACAAUGGGUUGCCAAGUCGCAAGACGGAGCUAAUCCCAUCAAAAGAUAGGUCAGUUCGGAUUGGAGUCUGCAACUCGACUCCAUGAAGCCGGAAUCACUAGUAAUCGUGAAUCAGCAUGUCACGGUGAAUACGUUCUCGAGCCUUGCACACAACAAUAACUGCGCCAGGUAGUGUAAUUUUCAAGGGGGUUAAAAUCCCUCCUAG